AACAAACGCUGGCGGCGUGCCUAAUACAUGCAAGUCGAACGGGGAAAGCUUUCGGGUGAGUACUAGUGGCGCACGGGUGAGGAACGCGUGGAUAAUCUGCCUUAGAGUGGGGGAUAACUAGUCGAAAGAUUAGCUAAUACCGCAUAAGACCACGAGAGCUGCGGCUUUUGAGGUCAAAGGUUUUUCGCUCUAAGAUGAGUCCGCGUAAGAUUAGCUAGUUGGUGAGGUAACGGCUCACCAAGGCGACGAUCUUUAACUGGUCUGAGAGGAUGAUCAGUCACACUGGAACUGAGACACGGUCCAGACUCCUACGGGAGGCAGCAGUAGGGAAUAUUGCACAAUGGAGGAAACUCUGAUGCAGCGACGCCGCGUGAGUGAUGAAGGCCUUCGGGUCGUAAAGCUCUGUCGCAGGGGAAUAACACAAUGAAGGUACCCUGUAAGAAAGGAUCGGCUAACCUCGUG
Molecule: ribosomal RNA, 462 nt
Filed under: uncultured bacterium
Lineage: Bacteria
Description: partial 16S ribosomal RNA
Rfam family: Bacterial small subunit ribosomal RNA
Source: RNAcentral